RNAcentral lists this long non-coding RNA (1012 nucleotides) under Lathyrus oleraceus (garden pea). RNAcentral's name for it is "Pisum sativum (pea) long non-coding RNA (PSAT_LNC012093)". The record is from RNAcentral. Lineage: Eukaryota; Viridiplantae; Streptophyta; Magnoliopsida; Fabales; Fabaceae.
AGAUAUUGGAAAAAGAAAUUGACAUAAUUGAAAUGAGAGAGAAUAAUAAAUAUUUAAGGGUAUAAUAAGAAAAAUAAUAUUAAUGAUUCAUUGAUAUUAUAAAACGACUUAUAUUAUGAUACAAAAUAUUUUCUCAAAACGACUUAUAAUAAAAAACGGAGGUAGUACACAUGAUCAGGAAAAGUACUCUGAGCUCCCUUCUCUAGCGAAUCACCUUGUUGUAGCCUUUAACUACUCUGCCGCGCUGGAGCUCAUCGUCGUCGGCGGCGGAUCUCCUAACAUGAAAAACCAUACAUCAAAACCUUCAUUUCACUUAGCUAUCAACGAAUCCCUUAACAGUUUCCUCCAAUCCGUGCCCUAAAUUAUAAAGUCAAGCAAAUCUUCCAAGAACCCUAAUCUACAAAUCUCAAAAUUAAAUCCUCCAAUGGAGGAAUCAAAGUCCCUUGGGUUAGGGUUUAAUUCCUCUAUUCAAGACCUACAUAAUGGUACACAGUUCAAAGGAAAACAGAGAGUAACAGGAACCUACCGAUGAAGGCCGACGUGAGACGAUUUCAAAGUACCACGAAAAAGAUGAAGAUGAUUUUGGUAAGUUCCUUACUAUGAACUUCUUCCUUCCUUUCUUCUUUUUCACAUGACUUCUUCUGUUGAAUCCUCUCUUCUCAAUCCGUGUGUGAUGAUGUGUGUAUAAUUGAGAGAGAAUGAUGAGGGUCUGAGAAAGAACGGUGAGGGAUCGAGGGAGAUGCUUAGGUGAUGAUCGUUGAUGAUUGGUGAUAACUGCUUUGUGAUUGUGUGAGUGGUGAGAGGAGCACAAGAGUGAGAGUGAUUUUAGAGAGUGUUCAAUAAUUGGAGAGUGAAUUCGGAGGAAAGUGAAAGAUGAAGAUUGAAUCAGAGAGCCCGAAAUGUGAGAGUUAUGCUUGAUUUAUAUAGUGAUUAAGAUGGUGGUUAGGGAUUGAAAGAGUUAUCUUCUAUUAGAUUAAUCAAGAGUAAUUUAGUUAUGAAACUCAUAUACUUU